UACGUAGGGAGCAAGCGUUGUCCGGAUUCACUGGGUGUAAAGGGUGCGCAGGCGGGAGAGUAAGUCAGAGGUGAAAUCUCACAGCUUAACUGUGAAACUGCCUUUGAUACUGCUUUUCUUGAGUUCGAGAGAGGUUGAUGGAAUUCCAGGUGUAGCGGUGAAAUGCGUAGAUAUCUGGAAGAACACCAGUGGCGAAGGCGGUCAACUGGCCCGUAACUGACGCUCAGGCACGAAAGCGUGGGUAGCGAACAGG
This 253-nucleotide ribosomal RNA is filed under the name uncultured bacterium. RNAcentral's name for it is "partial 16S ribosomal RNA". It matches the Rfam family "Bacterial small subunit ribosomal RNA", at positions 524 to 776 of the family's 1533-position model. The record is from RNAcentral.